CAUCUUCCAUCAGACGAUGCUGUGUGGUUGAGAAGUUGCCUGCUGCUACUUUUCUAGAUACUUCUAUAAUGAAAGGGUUUACUGGUUAAGUUUUCGUUGCUCUAAUGCUCCAAUUUUCUAGUAAAUAGCAGUGUUAAAUGAGUAUAAGUGGCAUCUUAUGCAGUAUGGUGAGCAGCUCUUUCAGCUUAUUUUCAUCCGCUAGACAGGAGUAUUUUGGAAGGG
RNAcentral lists this unclassified non-coding RNA (222 nucleotides) under Hevea brasiliensis (rubber tree). The record is from RNAcentral. Lineage: Eukaryota; Viridiplantae; Streptophyta; Magnoliopsida; Malpighiales; Euphorbiaceae.